AUCUAUGGCCAUGCCACUCUGAACAAGACCAAUUCCAUCUGAUCUCAGAAGUUAAGCAGGAUAGGGCCUGGUUAGUACUUAGAUGGGAGACCACCUAGAAAGACCAGGUGCUGUAAGCA
Pteropus vampyrus (large flying fox) is the source of this 119-nucleotide ribosomal RNA. Lineage: Eukaryota; Metazoa; Chordata; Mammalia; Chiroptera; Pteropodidae. The record is from Ensembl.